UCACACAGGGGGCAAGGGCUAUGGGGCUGCUCAGGUGGGAUCAGAGUUGUGUCCUGCCCUACAUUGGGCUGCUCUGGGCUGCCCCACAUUACCUUUGGGUACCUCCUGCCAAAUGGCCUGUGGCUCCGAGGAUGAGGGUUAAGCCAACUCCUACAACAACACAACAGUCUCACACUCUGGGCUUUCCUGAGCCUAGAGCCUCUGAAAACUGGGCCACAACAAGCAAACAUGUUGUUGUCUGAAGUGUGUCCAGUCAAAUGAGCUGGCUAGGGGCCUGUGUCUAGAAUGUAACUGCCUGGUUACAAGAGUUCUAAGUCUGUUGGGGUCUAUCGCCAAGGAAGUGAGGUCACGUUUUCAAGAUUCCAUUACCUGGGCUGCUUCCUGUAAUCAGACCUAACCAAACCACCCUCAUGUCAUCUUCUUAACUAUACAUGAGGAGCUUCCACAGCCCCAGCCACAGCUGCCUGGCAAUGUCAUGAGGGUCCCAGCUUUGAGGAGGCAGAGCAGAAUUCAGACCUCCUUUAUCUUACCACUUCUCUGUCCAGGAAACCUCAUUGUGCCUCUCAGGGCCUCCCCAGUCUCCAAACCCGCACAAGGGGAAUCCGCCUAGAAUAUACUUGCCAGGGACAUCAUCAGGUGUAUAUGAGAUAAUAUCCAUACCACCUGUGAGGUCGUGUCAAGUGCAAGUAAUGCACAAACAAAGAGAUGGAAGAAUUACGAGAAGGGAUGUAGCAUGAACACCACUCAAAACAGGCCUGGGGUCAGCAAUGCGAUAUUGCAACAGGCAACUCCUCUCUCGGCCUCAUUUCAAUGUCAGCACAAGGAGAGGGUUGCUGAAUGAAAUCCAGACACUGUCAUCCUCUGGAUUCAAACCUCUCCAUUGUUUCCUCUUCUAUUUAGAAAGAGACCCAAGUGCCACAUGUUGAACUAUGAGGUGGGCAGCCUUCACAAUGGCUCCCAGAGAUCCCCACCCGUGGUACACACAUCCCUCACAGAUUCCUGUGUGACCACUGAGUGCUUAGUGACUGGCUGUCACCAAUAGAACACAGCCGGUCUGGACGGAUGUCAUGCCUAAAUUUUAAACACAAAAAGUCUCUCACUUCCUUCUUAUUUCCUCUCUUAAGUUCCACCUCUCUCUUCUCUCUCUCUUUCCCUUCUCUCUCUCUCUUCCCUAUCCCUGAGCUGGGGAAUCAAGCAGAGAUGUUUUGAGCUGCCAUAUACAGAGGCCCACGUGGGAGGGAACCGAGGCAGCACCCAGGCCAACAGACAGAAAGUAACCCAUCCUCUGAGUCCAAACUGUACCCUGAAUCCUUUGAGGAAACCUGGGAGGAAAUUCUCUGCCAGUCGAGCAUCAGCUGAGGUUGCGGCCCCGGCCUUGAGGCAUCUUGAGCAGAGGAACCAAGCUCAUAGUGUGAGCUCCUGACUGGCAGGGACCACUCAGUCGUCGUCAGCCCUGUACUCAGACCCACCUGAGCACCUGGCACAGGGUGCGUGCUCGGUGCACAGUCGCUGAGUGAAGAAUUGUGAAACUCGUGUCCCCUCCUCCUGCUCUUCACCAAGUCAGACUGUGGAGAGGAGCGCUAGUACCAGGAGGAGUGAGUUCUCUCUGAGGCGGGGGACAGCCGGAAAGGCCUCUGCACGGCUAUUCGCUACUCCAGCAGCUGAAGCAGAGCUGAGUGGGCGCCGUGUAAGUUUAAGAAGUCAGCACAGGGACUCGAUGCACACAGACUGCACAAUAACACCACCAGUUCACUUAACAUCCAUCACUGAGAACAGAAAAAUAAGCGUUUCCUUGUGAUGAGAAGUUUAGCUUCUUUGUUCUUAGCAACUUUGAAUGUACCACACAGCAGUGUUAACUUAGGCAGUGUUGUGUGUCAAUUACAUCCCAAUAGAAGUGACAACAAUUAAAACCCAACCCCAGCGGGCACCACUGACGCUGCAGGCUGCCUGCCUCCUGGUGGCCAGCGCCAGCACUGCAGCCCUGGCAGAAGCCAACAAACAGGAAGGUUUCUUUGGGUGUCCUCAAGGCAAAGGCUCCCCACUGUCCCAGGGGUAAAGGAGCAGGACCUGCAGGCUUCCAGACCAUGCAAGGAACCUCAGCAGCCUCUCUCUCCCCAUCUUUCUGUCCCUCCACUCGGGUGUCCUCUUCUCUCAGGAGGCAUCCUAACCUCAGCCAAGGCAAUGAUUUCCCUCUCCUGCCAAGUGAGGACCUCAGGACUCCAACAAGGACUGGUCUUGUCCCUGGACUCUGGACUCAGUGUACACUGCUCUGGCAUGUUCUUCCUUAUCCCAAGUUCUCAUCCACCCAAGCCCCCAAGCCUGUCUCAGUUCUAAAGGAUCUCCAGCAGGUGGGAAAGCAUUUUCUCAGGUGCUCAGAGCACAGGGCGUCAUCGAUGGAGAACCAAGGGCCACAGACACUUCGUGAGCAUCAUACGGAACCCAGGGAGUCACCCACUGGAUGCACUCCACUUUACACAGGAGGACACCAAUGUCUUCUCUCCUCUACCCAAUGUCUACACAAGAGGAGAACGGCUCAUCAGAGUAGCAGGUGCCCGCAGAAGUAGACUCCAGCUCCCCAGUCCUGUGCCCUCCAGGCUAGGCCAGGGAUGCCCUUGGAACAGGUACACACCUAGAAACCUGAGGGAUUCUUCAGUCCAUCUCGGGCCUUCUGGGCAUGUAGCCAGGAGGAUGGAUGCUACUGUUCAUGGCAGAGCUGCCUCCGACUGCCUUCUCCUCGGCCUCUUGUCACUUCCCUGGUGUCUGCUCUUUCCUGGGGUCCCUGCAUGGUCCACACAGGAGAAAUCGGUGUGAGUGUGCCUGUGCAUGAUUGGAUGCGAACAGGAAGACGACCCCACAUGGACAGGGGUGGGCAGGGCUCCCCUAGGACCAUGAGGUCCCUGUUUCCAAAGAAAACCCGAAGGAAAGAGGUGGAGCCUUGGCCAAGGAAGCCAGAGCCCUGAUUGAUCCUCUGGAUUCUGAACCCCUCCUGAGGUCUGGGUCAGUCCCUCCAACUUUCUGGGCCUCAGAUUCCCAAAUGGACAAAGAACACGUUUUGUAAGAGCAAAGUCAAAAUGGACCCUCUGCAAAUGAAACAAGUACCAUGCUUUGACCUCCCCCCACUGUUUAUCCUCCAAGGAGACUUAGAACCUACACGGUGUCUUCUACUGGGUAAGAUCACCCUCAGCACACAAAAGUGAUAAUGGUUGAAAUGGCACACGGUCAACUUUAUCAGUGACUAAAUAUUGAUGGAAGAAGAAAUACAUCUGAAUAUAUUUUGAUAUGACUGAUGACAUUCAGGAAAGUUAACUUGCUGGAAAUAAGAACACCUAAACAAAACUUAAAAUGUCAGAACCUGUAGUCAGUACAUUAUGAUGUAGAUUAAAACAAAUUCAGCCAUUUGCAUAACAAUUAAUUGAUUGAGAAAAAA
Long non-coding RNA from Equus caballus (horse), 3427 nucleotides. NCBI's taxonomy places the organism in Eukaryota, Metazoa, Chordata, Mammalia, Perissodactyla, Equidae. The record is from Ensembl.